Molecule: long non-coding RNA, 318 nt
Filed under: Panax ginseng (ginseng)
Lineage: Eukaryota; Viridiplantae; Streptophyta; Magnoliopsida; Apiales; Araliaceae
Description: long non-coding RNA (PGIN_LNC005562)
Source: RNAcentral
UGCAAUGUUUUAUCAUGAUAUAGCAAGGGUGAGCAUGAAAGUUGCCCAGCAAGUUUAAAUACAACAAUAUAACGAUAUAUCAUGAUUGAAGAGUAUGAAUAAUGGGCUUGCUAUAAUUCAUCAAUAUAAUUGAGAACUAGCACGAACAAAUUUUUGACUGAACAAGUAUUACACAUGAACAAACAUUUCUGAACCAACUAGUAAUAAAGGUGAUCAGCCUUUCAUACCUGACUUAUACAUGCAAGAUGUACAGAGUACAAAUUUCGUGGCAAUCAGCGAUGAUUAACCAUAAGCUUGAAGAAAUUACUCUUAUUAGAG